UCAAAUAACUAAAAGAAUAAGGAUUCCUAAUGCGAGUAGAAGUGUUAAGUGAUUGCUUGGUUUUGAAUAGGAUUCAAACCUUAUGCCUAUUUAAAGAAGCUUUUCCUAAGGCUUCUAGGCAAUUGAACCAGCAGUCCCACACCUUCAUAGAGCAGCCCACGCCCCCUCUCUUUCUUCUCCCCUCUCUUCUCUCUUGAAGAUCCAACGCCUAAGCCUUGGGCAUCCUCCAUCUUCCACACCCAAAGGAGUUUGGGUGUCCCCUUUGUUUGCUGGUUUCUAAUUC
Molecule: long non-coding RNA, 283 nt
Filed under: Elaeis guineensis (African oil palm)
Lineage: Eukaryota; Viridiplantae; Streptophyta; Magnoliopsida; Arecales; Arecaceae
Description: long non-coding RNA (EGUI_LNC070899)
Source: RNAcentral